RNAcentral lists this ribosomal RNA (374 nucleotides) under uncultured organism. RNAcentral describes it as "partial 16S ribosomal RNA". It matches the Rfam family "Bacterial small subunit ribosomal RNA", at positions 527 to 896 of the family's 1533-position model. The record is from RNAcentral.
GUAGGUGGCAAGCGUUGUCCGGAAUUAUUGGGCGUAAAGCGCGCGCAGGCGGGUCCUUUAAGUCUGAUGUGAAAGCCCACGGGCUCAACCGUGGAGGGUCAUUGGAAACUGGGGGACUUGAGUACAGAAGAGGAAAGCGGAAUCCCGAGUGUAGCGGUGAAAUGCGUAGAGAUUUGGAGGAACACCAGUGGCGAAGGCGGCUUUCUGGUCUGUAACUGACGCUGAGGCGCGAAAGCGUGGGGAGCAAACAGGACUAGAUACCCUGGUAGUCCACGCCGUAAACGAUGAGUGCUAAGUGUUAGGGGGUUUCCGCCCCUUAGUGCUGCAGCUAACGCAUUAAGCACUCCGCCUGGGGAGUACGGCCGCAAAGGCUG